This 767-nucleotide ribosomal RNA is filed under the name uncultured Russula. Its description in RNAcentral is "partial 28S ribosomal RNA". It matches the Rfam family "Eukaryotic large subunit ribosomal RNA", at positions 216 to 962 of the family's 3401-position model. The record is from RNAcentral. Lineage: Eukaryota; Fungi; Basidiomycota; Agaricomycetes; Russulales; Russulaceae.
GAAUCCCGUCUUUGGCACGGAAACCCCAGGGCUUUUGUGAUGCGCUCUCGAAGAGUCGAGUUGUUUGGGAAUGCAGCUCAAAAUGGGUGGUGAACUCCAUCUAAAGCUAAAUAUUGGCGAGAGACCGGUAGCGAACAAGUACCGUGAGGGAAAGAUGAAAAGCACUUUGGAAAGAGAGUGAAACAGUACGUGAAAUUGUUGAAAGGGAAACGCUUGAAGUCAGUCGCGUCGGCCGAGACUCAGCCUUGCCUCGGCUUGGUGUACUUCUUGACCGACGGGUCAGCAUCAAUUUUGCCCCUUGGAUAAUGGCGAGGGAAAUGUGGCACCUUUAUAGGUGUGUUAUAGUCUCUCGUCGCAUGCAAGGGUCGGGAUUGAGGAACUCAGCACGCACCUUUGGGUGUCGGGGCUUUGCCCACGAUACGUGCUUAGGAUGUUGGCGUAAUGGCUUUAAACGACCCGUCUUGAAACACGGACCAAGGAGUCUAACAUGCCUGCGAGUGUUCGGGUGGAAAACUCGUGCGCGCAAUGAAAGUGAAAGUUGGGACCUCUGUCGUGGAGGGCACCGACGCCCGGACCAGACCUUCUGUGACGGCUCUGCGGUAAAGCAUGUGUGUUGGGACCCGAAAGAUGGUGAACUAUGCCUGAAUAGGGUGAAGCCAGAGGAAACUCUGGUGGAGGCUCGUAGCGAUUCUGACGUGCAAAUCGAUCGUCAAAUUUGGGUAUAGGGGCGAAAGACUAAUCGAACCAUCUAGUAGCUGGUUCCUGCC